Long non-coding RNA from Erinaceus europaeus (western European hedgehog), 617 nucleotides. RefSeq lists it as uncharacterized. The transcript is spliced from 3 exons. Lineage: Eukaryota; Metazoa; Chordata; Mammalia; Eulipotyphla; Erinaceidae. The record is from RefSeq and is a predicted model, not a curated record.
CAACGCUCAGGGGAAAAUGAGGCCUCACCUUAAUUGGGCCAGUUCUGAGACGGAAUCUAACAGUCACUCAGGAAAUGGCUGAACCAUAAGGAUUGAGAGUAUUACUUUUCUUGGCUGGGAAGCACCACAGGCAGCAUCUCAAAACAGUUUGGCAGCAUGAGAAAUCAUUCCAGAGUCUCUGCAAAAUCGCACUCAAGGGAGUAUGAGAAGCAUAAAUAUUUUCGAGAAAAAUAAUUAUGAGUUCAAGCCACCAAGUUGCAGAUGCUACCAUGACACCAUCCCUGAGCAGAUGACCUCACCAAAGUGUCCUGGAACCUCACCUCCCCAGAGCCCAGUCUCACUAGGGAAAGACAGAAACGGGCUGGGGGUGUAGAUCCACCUGCCAACACCCAUGUCCAGCAGAGAAGCAAUUAUAGAAGCCAGACCUCCCACCUUCUGCACCCCAUAAAGAUCUUUGACCCAUGAUCCCAGAGGGUUAAAGAAUAGGGACGCUUCCAAUGGAGGGGAUGGAUCAUAAGACUCUGCUGGUGGGAAUUUCGUGGAAUUGUACCCCUCUUACUCCACAAUCUUUUUUAUCAUUAUUAAAUCACUAGUAAAAAAGAAAUUUGAGAUUAUGC